RNAcentral lists this unclassified non-coding RNA (396 nucleotides) under soil metagenome. RNAcentral's name for it is "partial contains 5.8S ribosomal RNA, internal transcribed spacer 2, and large subunit ribosomal RNA". The stretch from base 1 to 121 matches the Rfam family "5.8S ribosomal RNA", at positions 35 to 154 of the family's 154-position model. The record is from RNAcentral.
GAUGAAGAACGUAGCGAAUUGCGAUAAGUAAUGUGAAUUGCAGAUUUUCAGUGAAUCAUCGAAUCUUUGAACGCAUCUUGCGCUCCUUGGUAUUCCGAGGAGCAUGCCUGUUUGAGUGUCAUUUUAACUUCUCAACCAUAUCGAAUUGUUUUUCGAGGUGGCUUGGACAUGGGGGUUUUUGCAGGCUUUAAUAAUGAAGUCGGCUCCUCUGAAAUGCAUUAGUGGUAUCUGAAGCAGAACUGCUACUAUUAGGUGUGAUAAUUAUCUAUGCCUCUUGGUAUACUGCAUGAACAGAUUGCGCUGCUUCCAACUUGUACACCCUUUGGUGUUUGACAAAUUUGACCUCAAAUCAGGUAGGACUACCCGCUGAACUUAAGCAUAUCAAUAAGCGGAGGA